RNAcentral lists this long non-coding RNA (1797 nucleotides) under Serinus canaria (Common canary). RNAcentral's name for it is "lncRNA (ENSSCAG00000008485.1)". The record is from RNAcentral. Lineage: Eukaryota; Metazoa; Chordata; Aves; Passeriformes; Fringillidae.
AUGCCGAGGGCAGGCUGGGGACAGCAGAGAGUGAGGGAAGGAGCAGCAGGGCAGCAUUGCCACACACCUNNNNNNNNNNNNNNNNNNNNGGCAGCAUUGCCACACACCUGCCCAGGAGCAGGGAGCAAAGUCCUGGGGGCUGCUGGAAAUCUGGCUGGGAUUAACCCCUUGGGCUCCACGGGGUGCUGGGGAGGGCUGGGGCCUGUCAGGUCCUCUCAGGGUGCUGCUGCCCACACAAGGCUCCUCCAGCCAGCACCUCUUGCCCUGGGCUCUGUUACCGUGGCUGUGGGCACUGCCAGGGGACAGCACUGUCACUGUCACUCACCGGUGCUGCCCCAGGGGCUUGGGGACAGGGACACCCCUGGGUCAGCAGGGUGUUGUGCACAGGCUGAGCCCAGGCUGGUUCCUGGGCUGCCAGCAAACAAACCUGGCUCCUCUCCUUCCCUGCCAGCUGCUGGCACCUCCAGAGGCUGCUGCUCCCUGACAUUCCAUGGCCAGCCCAGCCACAGGGAGCCAGCACAGCCAGGAGAGCAGCACCGAGGCCACAAAAUGACCCAGCUGUGCCUUUCCCUCCGUGCAGAGAGCCAGGGGCAGCAGGAUGGCCCCAGCCAGGAUGGCAGAGUGAGCAGCCCAGCUCCAGAGAGCCCCAGAGACACCCUGCCUGGGCAGCAGCAGCACGGGCAGCACGUGCCAGGACCUGGGCUGGCUCCUGCCCCCGAGGCACUCGAGGGGAGCCAGGUGACAAGUGACUCUGAGGGGGACACAUUCAGUGACACCCUGGAGCAGAUGGAGCCUGAGAAGGCUGGGCAGGUGCAGGGGCUCACCCCAAAGGGGGUCCAGGCUGGGGCUGAGCCCCCAGAGCCCCACAGUGCUGGGCAGGGUGAGCGGGGCGAAGGCAGAAGAGCCGAGGGGAGCAGCAGCACAGACCUGCCAGCCCUGGGCUCCGAGACAGGUGGGUGCAGAGCUUGUCCCUGCGCCUCCUCCUGCUGCUGCUGCUGUUGCCCACCUCCAUGGGCUGGGCUGGGGGUGGGAGGGGACUGAGUUUGGCUCCAGCACCCAUGGUUGGGUGAUCAGAGGCUGAAGGAAGCCACAAGUGUCCUGUGUCCAAAUCCCUUGGUCCCCAAGCAGCUCAGCCCUCCUUUGGCCGUUUCCUGCCAUGGUACUGAAUUGCCUCAGUUUGGAGGGUGCUCUGCUGGCCCUCCAGCAGCCAGGCAGGAGAUGCAGGGCCCUGGCUUCCCAUGCCCAGGUCCAGCUACACCAGCGGUGCCUUCGGAUGUGGGUGGUGCCAAGGGUGAGCUCUGCCCAGCAGAGCAGGGGUGAAGCUGGGCCCUGUGCCCUGGAGGCCUUGGGGACAGCAGUGCCACUCGCCUGAUGCCACCCAGCAGUGCUGCUGGAGUCUGGGGACCACCAGGCCUUGAGCUGUGCCACCCUGUGUGCUGUCCCCAGACAUACUGGGCUGCCCUGGGGUGGCAUUGCCACUCUCACCCGUGGGACUGGUGCCAUUGCCUCACCUGGGCACACCCCACGUGUCUCACCCUUUCCCCUGUUACUGUUCCCUUCCGGGCUGCUUGACCUUGUCCCCAGGCCAGGCUGGGCUGUCCCCAGGGCUGGCAGCAAGUCCCUGCCUGUGUCCUGCUCCCUGCUUGGAUUAUCCAGGUGUUUGCCAGGCUGCUUUGGGGCCUCUGAUGGGCCCGGGGGCGGCCAGGGAGGAGCUGCCCUGGCCCUGGGUGUCCUGCCCUGUGGUGGCAGGUGUCACCAGGUGACCCACACACACCACAGCACCCACACCGUGGGUGG